Molecule: transfer RNA, 74 nt
Filed under: Mollicutes bacterium
Lineage: Bacteria; Bacillati; Mycoplasmatota; Mollicutes
Description: tRNA-Trp
Rfam family: tRNA
About the family: Transfer RNA (tRNA) molecules are approximately 80 nucleotides in length. Their secondary structure includes four short double-helical elements and three loops (D, anti-codon, and T loops).
Source: RNAcentral
AGGGGUGUAGUUAAAUGGCAUAAUAGGAGUCUCCAAAACUUUUGUUGGGGGUUCGAUUCCCUCCACCCCUGCCA